Molecule: ribosomal RNA, 468 nt
Filed under: uncultured bacterium
Lineage: Bacteria
Description: partial 16S ribosomal RNA
Rfam family: Bacterial small subunit ribosomal RNA
Source: RNAcentral
GACGAACGCUGGCGGCGUGCUUAACACAUUCAAGUCGAACGGAAAGGCCCUGCUCUUUUGGCUUGCUCGAGUGGCGCACGUGUGUGUAACACGUUAGUAACCUGCCCUUGACUUUGGGAUAACUUCAGGAAACUGGGGCUAAUACCGGAUAGGAGCUCCUGCUGCAUGGUGGGGGUUGGAAAGUUUCGGCGGUUGGGGAUGGACUCGCGGCUUAUCAGCUUGUUGGUGGGGUAGUGGCUUACCAAGGCUUUGACGGGUAGCCGGCCUGAGAGGGUGACCGGCCACAUUGGGACUGAGAAACGCCCCAGACUCAGACGGGAGCAAGCAGUCUGGAAUAUUGCACAAGGGGAGGAAGCCUGAAGCAGCAACGCCGCAUGCGGGAGGAAGGUCUUCGGAUUGUAAGCCGCUUACACCGGUGACGAAGAGUGAGUGACGGUAAAGAGUAAAGAAGCAACGGCUAACUACAUG